AUGGAUUGGAAUCCAAAGGUUCUAUGUUGGAACGUGCGGGGCUUGAAUAACGCGAAGAGGAAUGCCGUGCGGGAGUUUGUGGUUGAAGCUAGCGUUAACCUCGUGUGCCUCCAAGAAACGAAACUGGAUGUAAUUGACCCAUUUACUGUUAUACAAUGCUUAGGGCCAUCGUUGGAUGGCUUUGCCUACUUGCCGGCGUCGGACACUCGUGGGGGUAUUCUCUUGGGGUGGGACACGACGACAUUGGACGUGGACAACAUUGUCCUGGAUACUCACUCUCUCACUGGGCUUGUGCACUGCAAGGACGGCUCGGCAUGGUGGGUGACAGUUGUUUAUGGGCCGCAAGGGGACGAGGAGAAGAUGCAAUUUCUAGUCGAGCUCCAUAACAGACGGGCGGUCUGUCCGGGGCUUUGGAUGGUGCUCGGGGAUUUCAACAUGAUCUUGCGAGCGGACGAGAAGAGUAACAAUAACUUACACAGGAGGAUCAUGAGAAGGUUUAAUGAAUUCGUGGACGAUUGUGAGCUUAAGGAGCCAUAUUUGCAUGGGAGGCGUUUCACUUGGUCGAACGAACGGGAGUAG
This 579-nucleotide ribosomal RNA is filed under the name Triticum aestivum (bread wheat). RNAcentral describes it as "partial small subunit ribosomal RNA". Lineage: Eukaryota; Viridiplantae; Streptophyta; Magnoliopsida; Poales; Poaceae. The record is from RNAcentral.